This 380-nucleotide ribosomal RNA is filed under the name uncultured bacterium. Its description in RNAcentral is "bacterial SSU rRNA". It matches the Rfam family "Bacterial small subunit ribosomal RNA", at positions 29 to 417 of the family's 1533-position model. The record is from RNAcentral.
AAUGAACGCUGGCGGCAUGCCUUACACAUGCAAGUCGAACGGUAACAGGUUAAGCUGACGAGUGGCGAACGGGUGAGUAAUAUAUCGGAACGUGCCCAGUAAUGGGGGAUAGCCCGGCGAAAGCCGGAUUAAUACCGCAUACGACCUACGGGUGAAAGCAGGGGAGUCGCAAGACCUUGCGUUAUUGGAGCGGCCGAUAUCAGAUUAGCUUGUUGGUGGGGUAAAAGCCCACCAAGGCGACGAUCUGUAGCUGGUCUGAGAGGACGACCAGCACACUGGGACUGAGACACGGCCCAGACUCCUACGGGAGGCAGCAGUGGGGAAUUUUGGACAAUGGACGAAAGUCUGAUCCAGCCAUGCCGCGUGCGGGAAGAAGGCCU